UGCCCUAAAAGCGCCGCCUCAUUCCUUCUUCGUGCCCACUCUGCCCCCUCUCGCCAUUUCACCCGAUUUCGCCGACAAGCUCAGCCGCGACUAAUCGCCGGCGUCGGGAGUGCGAGACCAGUCUCCGGUCUUCCCCACGGCCGAUCGGAGAUCUCCCCGGUGGCAUCCUUCGUCGAAACAUAGCUUCGUGCAAGGGAUUCUCGGCCGGGAGAGGGGAUAUCGAACUCCGGUGAUACUGGAGUGAGAUCUAUUGUUCCAGAGCUCCAUGGUGGCGAGAACCAGGUAGCUGAUCCAUUUUCCCGAGCCUUAGAGCCAAGCUGAUACCGUCGGGUUUUCCUUCCGCUGCUGGUGGUGGCUUCCGGCAGUGAGUGGUUCAUUGGGAGGAGCUCGGCCAAGCUUCACCAGCAGCAAUCCAACACUGGCGGACAUCCCCAGCAGAUGAUUUCCGGCCGUGAGUCAUUGGCCCUGGGAGAGCUCGAAUCUGUGAAUCUGUAGCAUUGGGCAGCAUCGGUGUGCUAGUGCCGGCGAUCUCACCUUCCGGCGGAGAGUCAACAGUGGGGAGCUCACCGUGAGGACUUUGAUCGAGGCGGGUAUUGUGACGAGGUUGACGUCGGAUUCAGCCUACAUUUGAGGCGGGUACUUCUUAACUUGCU
Long non-coding RNA from Zingiber officinale, 653 nucleotides. RefSeq lists it as uncharacterized. The transcript is spliced from 4 exons. Lineage: Eukaryota; Viridiplantae; Streptophyta; Magnoliopsida; Zingiberales; Zingiberaceae. The record is from RefSeq and is a predicted model, not a curated record.